AGCUUCUCAAGCGAGGCCCCCGAACAGCAGCCUCAACAUCACCUGGGAUCUCGUCAGAAAUGCAAAUUCUUCCCUCACCCCAAGUCAGCUAAAAUAGAAAUGCUAUUUCUGAGCACAAGCAACUCCAUGAACCCUAUCCUGGUUUCUCAAUAACUCCGACCACUAGAAGGAGACACGGCCAAUUUCAGAGCUGGGAUGAGGAACCUUCAACUGGGAAAAACAAGUUAACUGAUAUCAAAUACAACAAUAUAAAAACAAUUGAAUUCUGGUUAAAAAAAGAAGAGCUACAAAAGAUAUUUUGAUUAAGCAAUGAAAAAUUAAAAUAUGGACCGGAUACCAAAUGACAUAAGGGCACUAUAAAUGAUGUUCUUAGAUACAGUAAUGACACUGGAACUGGGAGAAUAUCUUCAUUCCUGUGACAUGCUUUGAGAGGUCUCUAGGGGUCAAUUGUCAUCUUUACAAUUUACCUUGAAGAGGUUCUAGAAACAUUAUAUGUAUUUAUGCAGAUAUACUCCAUAUAACAUUGCAAAAUGUUAGUAAUUUUGAAUAUAAAUGGUAACAUGGGUCUCCAGUAUUAUUUUUAUCAAAUUUUUGGAAAGUGUGAAAAUGGCCAUAUUAAAAAAUUGGGGAACUACUAGUAUUAAAACCACAUUAAUUUCUCAAUGCUUUUAUUAAAUUAUCACAGCACCAUAUCAUUAUACCAAAUUAUAACAAAAUUAUAACAAAAAAUGUAAGUUA
Homo sapiens (human) is the source of this 738-nucleotide long non-coding RNA. RefSeq lists it as uncharacterized. NCBI's taxonomy places the organism in Eukaryota, Metazoa, Chordata, Mammalia, Primates, Hominidae. The record is from RefSeq and is marked validated. The transcript is spliced from 3 exons.